UACGUAGGGGGCAAGCGUUGUCCGGAAUUAUUGGGCGUAAAGCGCGCGCAGGCGGUCGUUUAAGUCUUCUGUUUAAUGCAUGGGCUCAACCCGUGUACGCAGAGGAAACUGGGCGACUGGAGUGCAGGAGAGGGAAGUGGAAUUCCACGUGUAGCGGUGAAAUGCGUAGAGAUGUGGAGGAACACCAGUGGCGAAGGCGACUUCCUGGCCUGUAACUGACGCUGAGGCGCGAAAGCGUGGGGAGCAAACAGG
Molecule: ribosomal RNA, 252 nt
Filed under: uncultured bacterium
Lineage: Bacteria
Description: partial 16S ribosomal RNA
Rfam family: Bacterial small subunit ribosomal RNA
Source: RNAcentral